UACGUAGGGCGCAAGCGUUGUCCGGAAUUAUUGGGCGUAAAGAGCUCGUAGGCGGUUUGUCGCGUCUGCUGUGAAAUCCCGAGGCUCAACCUCGGGCUUGCAGUGGGUACGGGCAGACUAGAGUGCGGUAGGGGAGACUGGAAUUCCUGGUGUAGCGGUGGAAUGCGCAGAUAUCAGGAGGAGCACCGAUGGCGAAGGCAGGUCUCUGGGCCGCAACUGACGCUGAGGAGCGAAAGCGUGGGGAGCGAACAGG
Molecule: ribosomal RNA, 253 nt
Filed under: uncultured bacterium
Lineage: Bacteria
Description: partial 16S ribosomal RNA
Rfam family: Bacterial small subunit ribosomal RNA
Source: RNAcentral